UACGGAGGGGGGCUAGCGUUGUUCGGAAUUACUGGGCGUAAAGCGCACGUAGGCGGCUUUGUAAGUUAGAGGUGAAAGCCCGGGGCUCAACUCCGGAAUUGCCUUUAAGACUGCAUCGCUAGAAUUGUGGAGAGGUAAGUGGAAUUCCGAGUGUAGAGGUGAAAUUCGUAGAUAUUCGCAAGAACACCGGUGGCGAAGGCGGCUCACUGGUCCGGAACUGACGCUGAGGCACGACAGCGUGGGGAGCAAACAGG
Molecule: ribosomal RNA, 254 nt
Filed under: uncultured bacterium
Lineage: Bacteria
Description: partial 16S ribosomal RNA
Rfam family: Bacterial small subunit ribosomal RNA
Source: RNAcentral